Molecule: ribosomal RNA, 290 nt
Filed under: uncultured Geobacillus sp.
Lineage: Bacteria; Bacillati; Bacillota; Bacilli; Caryophanales; Anoxybacillaceae
Description: partial 16S ribosomal RNA
Rfam family: Bacterial small subunit ribosomal RNA
Source: RNAcentral
CGAGCGCAACCCUCGCCUCUAGUUGCCAGCAUUCGGUUGGGCACUCUAGAGGGAACUGCCGGCGACAAGUCGGAGGAAGUGGGGAUGACGUCAAAUCAUCAUGCCCCUUAUGACCUGGGCUACACACGUGCUACAAUGGGCGGUACAAAGGGCUGCGAACCCGCGAGGGGGAGCGAAUCCCAAAAAGCCGCUCUCAGUUCGGAUUGCAGGCUGCAACUCGCCUGCAUGAAGCCGGAAUCGCUAGUAAUCGCGGAUCAGCAUGCCGCGGUGAAUACCGGUUCCCGGGCCUU